Molecule: long non-coding RNA, 188 nt
Organism: Xenia sp. Carnegie-2017
Lineage: Eukaryota; Metazoa; Cnidaria; Anthozoa; Malacalcyonacea; Xeniidae
Exons: 4
Source: RefSeq, a predicted model, not a curated record
GGGUCAAACUGGCUUUUUACCAAAAGAUAUUAUAAAAGAAUUAAAGGCACCUUCUGAAAAACACGAGUCAGAUUUGCAAAAGUUUGCAAUCCAAGAUAUUACGCCAUCAAAAGCUUUAUGUGAAGAAGAAACAGAUGUCCUGCUCUUAUUUCAAAAGCCUCUUCCAACCAAGGGACAGUAUUUUAUUA